Molecule: long non-coding RNA, 150 nt
Organism: Helianthus annuus (common sunflower)
Lineage: Eukaryota; Viridiplantae; Streptophyta; Magnoliopsida; Asterales; Asteraceae
Exons: 3
Source: RefSeq, a predicted model, not a curated record
CUCUCUUCUCUCUAUGUUCUCUCCAUUAAAGCCUCAACUCUUCUUCUUCUAGCGAUUCAUUGUAUCUUCGUCUCCUACAUCCUCCUCCGUUUCAACAUAUGAUUUCUGCUAUCUUAACAUGUCUAUAUCUUCUGGAAUUUAUAAUGAGAG